This 30-nucleotide non-coding RNA is filed under the name Mus musculus (house mouse). The record is from RNAcentral. Lineage: Eukaryota; Metazoa; Chordata; Mammalia; Rodentia; Muridae.
GGACCCAAAUAAAGAGUAUGAAGAUCUGCU